UGAGGAAUAUUGGUCAAUGGGCGCAAGCCUGAACCAGCCAUCCCGCGUGCAGGAUGACGGCCCUAUGGGUUGUAAACUGCUUUUCUGAGGGAAGAAUAAGAGCGAUUCGUUCGUUCGACGACGGUACCUCAGGAAUAAGCAUCGGCUAACUCCGUGCCAGCAGCCGCGGUAAUACGGAGGAUGCAAGCGUUAUCCGGAUUUAUUGGGUUUAAAGGGUGCGUAGGCGGACUGUCAAGUCAGUGGUGAAAU
This 249-nucleotide ribosomal RNA is filed under the name uncultured Bacteroidales bacterium. RNAcentral describes it as "partial 16S ribosomal RNA". It matches the Rfam family "Bacterial small subunit ribosomal RNA", at positions 355 to 600 of the family's 1533-position model. The record is from RNAcentral. Lineage: Bacteria; Pseudomonadati; Bacteroidota; Bacteroidia; Bacteroidales.